AAAUUUACAAAAUGGAGAAGAUGAGGAAGUAGAACAUGAAGUAGACAAUGUAGAAAUGGAGAACAUGAAGAGGAAGUAUAAAAUGGAGAUUAUUACCUUGGGGAGAAGUUACAAACGCCCUUGAGGAGAACUUUGAACACCUUGGGAGAAGUUUGGGAGAGUUUGGGAGAGUUUGGAGAGUUUGGGAGAGUGUGGAGUAGGAGGAAACCGUUGGGAGAAAUGAGAAAAGUCUGAAAAUUUUUUACUUAUAUAAAAAAUUUCCGACGGCCAGGCCGCCGGGAAACACUUAAGUUCGAGUUGACUAAGUUUGACUGUACGGGGGACCACGGCGGCGCAAGUUGUAAUUUUAGGGUUUCCAAAAAAUCCUGGCGGCCAGGCCGCCGGCUACUGAAAAAAAUAAGCGGGAAAAAGUAUCCAGCGGCCAAGCCGCCAGCUAUUUUUCUUCCCG
RNAcentral lists this long non-coding RNA (448 nucleotides) under Zostera marina. Its description in RNAcentral is "long non-coding RNA (ZMAR_LNC004199)". Lineage: Eukaryota; Viridiplantae; Streptophyta; Magnoliopsida; Alismatales; Zosteraceae. The record is from RNAcentral.